Lemur catta (Ring-tailed lemur) is the source of this 2060-nucleotide long non-coding RNA. RefSeq lists it as uncharacterized. The transcript is spliced from 2 exons. NCBI's taxonomy places the organism in Eukaryota, Metazoa, Chordata, Mammalia, Primates, Lemuridae. The record is from RefSeq and is a predicted model, not a curated record.
GUUCUCGGGCUGUUGGGCUCCAGGAAAUACGCCAGUGGCCCCUGGUUCUCAGGCCUUUGGACCCAGACUGAACUACACCACCAGCUUUCCUGGCUCUCCAGCGUGCAGACAGCAUGUCGUGGGACUUUUCCACCUCCGUAAUCACAAUCAUCUCCUCUGUCCCAAAAACACAGAAGGAAAGACAGAGAAGCACCGCAGAAGGUGAGGUGAGGGGAGAAGUGCCCAGGUGGAGACCGGGCCUGCCAGCCUGUCCCCCCACACCCCGUCUCCCAGGUGGCCCCAGGCCAUCCUUGACAGUUAAGCCCUGUGUACUCUGAAUGCCAUGGAGGUACCCUGUACCCUCUUAAUGUGAUCCCUGCUGAGCCACGCCCAGCAGGUGCACACCUCCGAGCUCCACUGCACUGUCCCCUGGGCCGGCGCGCUGUGCACACGCAGCAGCUGUCCUCGUCCACCUGGCCGGUCACCUGCGUCAGCUCACUGGGCUCCCUGGAGCUCAGAGUCCCCAUGCUCCCUGUAAAGCGCAGGAGCGGCUCAAGCCCACACACAUACACCCCUCGUUUUUGUCCCUGCCCCUUGCCUGUCUACUGUGUGAGGUUUCUGCACUCUGCUUCAAGCUUCAUGCCGGCUCUUUCUGGCAGCCUGAAACAGGGGAGAGGCUAAGGUGGCACCUUCGGGCAGAUUCUGCUGGUGUUGCCCCUGGCGGGCCUGGAGCUGCCAGCGAGGGGCAGUUUCCUUUGGAGGACGUGCCCGCGAGGGCCGCGGCUGUGGCUGUGCUGAGAGUGGGGCCCAGCCCAGCCCAGGCAGGGGACUGGCAGACACCCCGGCUGUGUGCUGGCCUUCCACCGUGACUCCCGGUCCUCCCAGGCCACCAAUUUUCUGCACUGCUGCUCUCACGGUAGGAAUUAAAGGUGGGAAUGUCUGAAACUCCACUGCCUUGGAUAAGCAGAGCCCCCCCAACUGUAUCAUGCAGGAAGGGGAAGGACUGCAGCUAUCGAGGCAGGGCCAUCACUGUCAUGGUGCCCCCAUCCUACCUUUCCUGGAGACCAGGGUCCAUUAGGCGGCCGCCACUUCAUCAUACUUUGGCCCAUCAAUGUGUCCUGCCUCGGUUCCACUCAUAACCCACAGAUAACAUGAGCACCCUCUGCCGGGGUCUUCGGGGUCAGGGAGUCACUGAAACUGCUGACGUUCAUCCACGGGUCCCUCAUGGUUCUUCCAAAGUGCCUCUCUGGCCGGAGGUGAGGAUGAGGAAUGUUUGAGUAGGUUUUCCACUGCACAGACAUGGAGUAUGGUAUGUUUCUUUCAGCUUCCGUCUCCACAGCUUCCCUAAGUUGUCCAUUAAAAGACAGGGACCCCGUGGCCAGGGUAUGCAGGAUGGCUCCAGGCUCCAUGUGUUCAUGGCGAGGCCAUCGUGCUUUUGACCUCAGAAGAGUUCCAGGGCAGCAGAAGGGGAACCGCCACAGGUGUCCAGCUUGUUGCCAAAGUUUGUGAAGCCAAAGUCUGCAACCUUGAUGUUCAGGUCAGCAUCCAAAAGCAGGUGUUCUGGCUUUAGGUCCCUGUGGGCCAUACCCUGCUGGUCCUCCCCAGGCUGCUGGCUCCCUGCGUUGCUCUGUUGCUGGAGGAAUUAAGGGGGAGUGGCUGGAACGCACUGCCUGUGCUGCGCACUGCACAAACUAUGGGUGGAACUUGUCCUGGGCCUCUUUCCUGUUCCUGUGGCCAUGAUCCCAUAGGUAACGGGUCACCUCCCCUCCACGAGUGAGCUCCACAGCCAGGCAGUGUUCCCUGGAUCUCAGUCACCUUGGAUGAUUUCAUGGCACCAGGACGAUUCAGGGCUGUCACAAGGUGUACUUCACAGUACAGUCCCUAGAGGCUGGAGGAGCGUCACAGACACUGCGUCCCACUCACAAUGCGCCAGGGUACCUGCACCUCAGCCCAGCAGGACAUUAUGAUGCUCAAGUUAAAAAGAGAGGGAACAAGAAUUGCUUAGUAAUAUGUAAGGGAAAAAGCUAUUAAUUGAAUAUUAAUUUAAAACUAUUUUAUCUAUUAAAACUUUAUGACCCAAG